This 497-nucleotide ribosomal RNA is filed under the name uncultured bacterium. Its description in RNAcentral is "partial 16S ribosomal RNA". It matches the Rfam family "Bacterial small subunit ribosomal RNA", at positions 28 to 507 of the family's 1533-position model. The record is from RNAcentral.
GAUGAACGCUGGCGGCGUGCCUAAUACAUGCAAGUCGAGCGAACAGACGAGGAGCUUGCUCCUCUGACGUUAGCGGCGGACGGGUGAGUAACACGUGGAAAACCUACCUAUAAGACUGGGAUAACUUCGGGAAACCGGAGCUAAUACCGGAUAAUAUAUUGAACCGCAUGGUUCAAUAGUGAAAGACAGUUUUGCUGUCACUUAUAGAUGGAUCCGCGCCGCAUUAGCUAGUUGGUAAGGUAACGGCUUACCAAGGCGACGAUGCGUAGCCGACCUGAGAGGGUGAUCGGCCACACUGGAACUGAGACACGGUCCAGACUCCUACGGGAGGCAGCAGUAGGGAAUCUUCCGCAAUGGGCGAAAGCCUGACGGAGCAACGCCGCGUGAGUGAUGAAGGUCUUCGGAUCGUAAAACUCUGUUAUUAGGGAAGAACAAAUGUGUAAGUAACUAUGCACGUCUUGACGGUACCUAAUCAGAAAGCCACGGCUAACUACGUG